Molecule: non-coding RNA, 209 nt
Organism: Pelobates cultripes (western spadefoot toad)
Lineage: Eukaryota; Metazoa; Chordata; Amphibia; Anura; Pelobatidae
Source: the annotation of a GenBank genome assembly
GUCAAUGUACUUGACAGACCUGUAGGUGGCAGUGUUGAUAGAACCACUGUUGGUCUUGAUGUGAAAUGUAAAUUAUUGUGAAUUAAACCUGAAUUUGAGCCUGUGCUGGAGUUUCAUUUAUGGUUUAUGGUUAUGUUUAACCCCGUAAGGACAAAACUUCUGGAAUAAAAGGGAAUCAUGACACGUCACACAUGUCUUGUGUCCUUAAG